RNAcentral lists this ribosomal RNA (642 nucleotides) under uncultured Actinomycetes bacterium. RNAcentral describes it as "bacterial SSU rRNA". It matches the Rfam family "Bacterial small subunit ribosomal RNA", at positions 232 to 885 of the family's 1533-position model. Lineage: Bacteria; Bacillati; Actinomycetota; Actinomycetes. The record is from RNAcentral.
CGCGGCCUAUCAGCUUGUUGGUGGGGUGAUGGCCUACCAAGGCGACGACGGGUAGCCGGCCUGAGAGGGUGUCCGGCCACACUGGGACUGAGACACGGCCCAGACUCCUACGGGAGGCAGCAAUGGGGAAUAUUGCACAAUGGGCGGAAGCCUGAUGCAGCGACGCCGCGUGAGGGAUGACGGCCUUCGGGUUGUAGACCUCUUUCACCAAGGACGAAGCGGGAGUGACGGUACUUGGGGAAGAAGCACCGGCUAACUACGUGCCAGCAGCCGCGGUAAUACGUAGGGUGCGAGCGUUGUCCGGAAUUAUUGGGCGUAAAGAGCUCGUAGGCGGCCCGUUGCGUCUACCGUGAAAACUGGAGGCUUAACCUUCAGCUUGCGGUGGAUACGGGCGGGCUUGAGUUCGGUAGGGGAGACAGGAAUUCCUGGUGUAGCGGUGAAAUGCGCAGAUAUCAGGAGGAACACCGGUGGCGAAGGCAGGUCUCUGGGCCGAUACUGACGCUGAGGAGCGAAAGCGUGGGGAGCGAACAGGAUUAGAUACCCUCGUAGUCCGCGCUGUAAACGUUGGGCGCUAGGUGUGGGUGACAUCCACGUUGUCCGUGCCGUAGCUAACGCAUUAAGCGCCCCGCCUGGGGAGUACGG